This is a non-coding RNA of Gymnothorax javanicus (giant moray), 73 nucleotides long. The record is from the annotation of a GenBank genome assembly. Lineage: Eukaryota; Metazoa; Chordata; Actinopteri; Anguilliformes; Muraenidae.
GUUAUGAUGGUGCAGUGGGUAGCACUGUUACCUCACAGCAAGAAGGUCAUUGGUUGGAAUCCAGUCUGGGACC